UACCCAGGCGUGGGAAGAAUUCACUUGA
This 28-nucleotide non-coding RNA is filed under the name Mus musculus (house mouse). Lineage: Eukaryota; Metazoa; Chordata; Mammalia; Rodentia; Muridae. The record is from RNAcentral.